UACACAAUGAACAUAAGAUUAAGAAUGAACUAUAAUUAGCUCAUCGUUAAUUUAAGUUCUAUUGGACUCUUUUGAGGAUAAGCUCGAAAGUUGCUUAAAUGAGGAUCAUACUAUUUAAAACUGCUGUGUGGGCCUAAAAUUAGCCAUCAUAAGAGUUUGUUAUAAAAUAACAAAACCACGUUAAAAAUAUAAUUAUAUGUAAUACCAUGAAAACUAUAAGAAUAAUAAUCUUAACUAAGAGAUUUUACACCUAUGCUAGGAUGAGUAUUAUAAAUUUUAUAAAUUAAAUGUAAUCAACAUUUUUAGAAAAGUAUUAUUUAACAAUAAAUUAAAGAGAAGGAAUUCGGCAAAUAUUUAUUCCGCCUGUUUAUCAAAAACAUGGCUCUUUGAAGAGAAUGUAUAAAGAGUCGAACCUGCCCAGUGAAUUAUUUUAAACGGCCGCGGUACCCUGACCGUGCAAAGGUAGCAUAAUCAUUUGCCUUAUAAUUGAAGGCUGGCAUGAAUGGUCUGACGGGAGUAAUACUGUCUCCUCUUUAUUAUCUAAAAAUUAACCUAUAGGUGAAGAGGCCUAUAUUAAAUUGAAGGACAAAAAGACCCUGUCGAGCUUUAAAAAAGAGCAGGACGUUAGUUAUUUAAAUAAAAUCAAUGAACUGUAUUAUGGUUUUUAGUUGGGGCGACGAAGGAACAAACAAAGCUUCUUUUAUUUCUGUAAAUUUAUAAAUUUGGAUCCAGCAGAGCUGAUUGGAAAAAUUAGUUACCGCAGGGAUAACAGCAUAAUCUCCUUCAAGAGACCUAAUCGAAAGGGGGGGUUGUGACCUCGAUGUUGGACUAGAAUAUCCUGAAGAUGCAGACGUCU
RNAcentral lists this ribosomal RNA (856 nucleotides) under Mieniplotia scabra. RNAcentral describes it as "partial large subunit ribosomal RNA". The stretch from base 320 to 856 matches the Rfam family "Eukaryotic large subunit ribosomal RNA", at positions 1890 to 2916 of the family's 3401-position model. The record is from RNAcentral. Lineage: Eukaryota; Metazoa; Mollusca; Gastropoda; Thiaridae.